This 983-nucleotide long non-coding RNA is filed under the name Homo sapiens (human). RNAcentral describes it as "HSALNT0321081". Lineage: Eukaryota; Metazoa; Chordata; Mammalia; Primates; Hominidae. The record is from RNAcentral.
CGGAAGGGCGGUGCUCGAGCUGUGGUGCGUGCCGCUAAGUUGUGCGUUCCAGGGUGCACUCGCCGGCGAGGCUGCACGGCGCCGGUUUCAUUGCUAAAAUCCGACGGACUUGUUGCAGAACUCGUUUUUUUUGUCGGGAAAGGGCUUCCCCGUGUAACUUUACAGCAGUUAUCGUAGAUAAGACUUGCAAAUUACAGAUGUGGACGGUGAGGGAACGGGAAUUUCACUGAAAGCGCCUGAGAACCAGCUGGACAAUGGAGGAGGCUUGAAACAGUAGCUGGCAAGUGGUAGAAGAGAUGGAGCAGAGAAGCAAGAAGAAGCAGACUCCUCACUCCUUCACCAGGGUGGAUUUGCUGGUUUGAAGCAGACCUGAGUUGGGAGAGGAGAGAGGCGAGAAGUUUUAAUUGGAUGAAAUAUUUCUUUAGACUGGUCUAUACUUUUUUCUUUAUAUCUAAAAUUCACUGGAAGAGCUAUGAAAUCUGUCCAAGAUUUCGUUCAGUUCAGGAAAAACCAAAACCAAAACCAUAACCAGUGAGUUUAUAAAGGAAGUUUAUGGUGGAUUUUUUAAAAUUAUUUUGAUAACUGACAUUGGGGUAUUCUCCAUCUUAUGAGUCUGAAAAUAUUUCUUCGCAGCCAGGUAAUACACAUGUGACUCAGAUGCCACCAAAGAAGUAUGUGUCCAAGACCUCAAGUUGAAAGCUGUGGACUGCGGAGGGACUCUCUGGUGAAGUUGUUGCAAGCAUGAUUAAUUCAUUGGGGCAGCAAUGGCAGCCAAGCCAGUGGUGGUAUCCUGUGUCCAGGAGUGGUAUUGGUGAUUCAGUUUGCAGCCUCUGAGGUACAAGGAUAAGGAAAAUGGUGACCAGAUCAGUUUUGCUGCCUCAGAUUAGACAUAAUUUCAAGCUGUAUAUCUCUAAUCCUCCUAAUAAUUCUAUGACCUACAUGAUAUCCUUUAAAUAAAUGACUUAUCAUUUAAAAUAAUUCCG